CAGUCGCCACGGUAAUACGUAGGUGGCAAGCGUUGUCCGGAAUUAUUGGGCGUAAAGGGCUCGCAGGCGGUUUCUUAAGUCUGAUGUGAAAGCCCCCGGCUCAACCGGGGAGGGUCAUUGGAAACUGGGAAACUUGAGUGCAGAAGAGGAGAGUGGAAUUCCACGUGUAGCGGUGAAAUGCGUAGAGAUGUGGAGGAACACCGGUGGCGAAAGCGGCUCUCUGGCUUGUAACUGACGCUGAGGCUCGAAAGCGUGGGGAGCAAACAGGAUUAGAUACCCGAGUAGUCCCUGUCUCUUAUAC
RNAcentral lists this ribosomal RNA (301 nucleotides) under uncultured bacterium. RNAcentral's name for it is "partial 16S ribosomal RNA". It matches the Rfam family "Bacterial small subunit ribosomal RNA", at positions 509 to 807 of the family's 1533-position model. The record is from RNAcentral.